This 355-nucleotide ribosomal RNA is filed under the name uncultured bacterium. RNAcentral describes it as "bacterial SSU rRNA". It matches the Rfam family "Bacterial small subunit ribosomal RNA", at positions 541 to 895 of the family's 1533-position model. The record is from RNAcentral.
UUGUCCGGAAUUACUGGGUGUAAAGGGAGUGUAGGCGGGAUAUCAAGUCAGAAGUGAAAAUUACGGGCUCAACUCGUAACCUGCUUUUGAAACUGACAUUCUAGAGUGAAGUAGAGGCAAGCGGAAUUCCUAGUGUAGCGGUGAAAUGCGUAGAUAUUAGGAGGAACACCAGUGGCGAAGGCGGCUUGCUGGGCUUUUACUGACGCUGAGGCUCGAAAGCGUGGGGAGCAAACAGGAUUAGAUACCCUGGUAGUCCACGCCGUAAACGAUGAUUACUAGGUGUGGGGGGAUCGACCCCUUCCGUGCCGGAGUAAACACAAUAAGUAAUCCACCUGGGGAGUACGACCGCAAGGUU